This 253-nucleotide ribosomal RNA is filed under the name uncultured Byssovorax sp. RNAcentral describes it as "partial 16S ribosomal RNA". It matches the Rfam family "Bacterial small subunit ribosomal RNA", at positions 524 to 776 of the family's 1533-position model. The record is from RNAcentral. Lineage: Bacteria; Pseudomonadati; Myxococcota; Polyangiales; Polyangiaceae.
GACAGAGGGUGCAAACGUUGUUCGGAAUUACUGGGCGUAAAGCGCGUGUAGGCGGUUUGGUAAGUCGGAUGUGAAAGCCCGGGGCUCAACCUCGGAAGUGCAUUCGAUACUACCAAACUAGAGUACUGGAGAGGACGGUGGAACUCUCGGUGUAGAGGUGAAAUUCGUAGAUAUCGAGAAGAACACCGGUGGCGAAGGCGGCCGUCUGGACAGAUACUGACGCUGAGACGCGAAAGCGUGGGGAGCAAACAGG